GAUCAUGGCUCAGAUUGAACGCUGGCGGCGUGCUUAACACAUGCAAGUCGAACGCGAAAGGGGCUUCGGCCCUGAGUAAAGUGGCGCACGGGUGAGUAACACGUGGAUAAUCUGCCCUUAUGAUCGGGAUAACAGUCGGAAACGGCUGCUAAUACCGGAUACGCUCAAAAUGAACUUUUUGAGGAAAGGUGACCUCUGCUUGCAAGUUACCGUAUAAGGAUGAGUCCGCGUCCCAUUAGCUUGUUGGUGGGGUAACGGCCUACCAAGGCAACGAUGGGUAGCCGAUUUGAGAGGAUGAUCGGCCACACUGGGACUGAAACACGGCCCAGACUCCUGCGGGAGGCAGCAGUAGGGAAUUUUCGGCAAUGGGGGGAACCCUGGCCGAGCAACGCCGCGUGAGCGAAAAGAAGGCCUUCGGGUCGUAAAGCUCUGUUAUGAAGGAAGAAUGACCCAUACAGGAAAUGGUAAGGGGAUGACGGUACUUCAUGAGGAAGCCACGGCUAACUACGUGCCAGCAGCAGC
This 522-nucleotide ribosomal RNA is filed under the name uncultured bacterium. RNAcentral describes it as "bacterial SSU rRNA". It matches the Rfam family "Bacterial small subunit ribosomal RNA", at positions 15 to 518 of the family's 1533-position model. The record is from RNAcentral.